GGACCUUUAGCUCAGGUGGUUAGAGCUCCCCGCUCAUAACGGGGUGGUCGUAGGUUCGAGUCCUACAAGGUCCA
Molecule: transfer RNA, 74 nt
Filed under: Facklamia languida
Lineage: Bacteria; Bacillati; Bacillota; Bacilli; Lactobacillales; Aerococcaceae
Also listed under: 14 other names
Description: tRNA-Ile
Rfam family: tRNA
About the family: Transfer RNA (tRNA) molecules are approximately 80 nucleotides in length. Their secondary structure includes four short double-helical elements and three loops (D, anti-codon, and T loops).
Source: RNAcentral